CCUAAUACAAACCAAGGGCUUCCUUUAAUAGCUAUAAGUUUUACGUCACCGAGAAACAAAUUCUACAAUAAUGUUGGUAAGCAUCAUAUUCACAUGCCACAGCCAAAAAGAGCAAGCACAUAGUAUUCUAAGAAUGGCCCAUAAAACUAAGCGAUGUAGCAGAGGAAGGUGGCAAACCUUAAUCAUAGCACGACAUCCGCUAGCUACUGAUGGAUUGAACAAUACCUGGAAGAAGAACAUAGCAAUACACACAUCAAAAAGAGGCCAAGACAUGGACUGGAUCAAAUGCAUAUCCUACCGGAAAAGAAACAAUAGUUGGAGGUUCGCCAUCAUCGAAGGAGGUUGAUAACAACUUCUUGUCAGAUUUUAUUGGCCACCGCAGAAAUAAAUAGAAAUCGUAAGAUCCCCACGAUUGAUAACAGGAAAUAAUAACUUACCUUCAAAUCUCAGAGAGAUUGGCACACACACAGAGAGUGAGAGAGAGAGGGAGACUUAGACACCAUUCAUCGCAGUAAAAAUGAGUGCACGCCGCAGAACUGAUCAUAUGGGAAGAAUACCCUUUGAAAUUAUAUCUCAAAAGCUCGGCGCAGCCAAUAUAAAUAUACAACCGUCAGAUAUUAGAAAAUGGUAAUAUAGGUGUGCUAAUGCCUAAAGUGCCAGAACAAAUCAUGCUCAUAUCCACAUGAGCACAUCACAACACAGACAUGCAUAAACACAUCACAAAUUUCUGAAGAAAAGGGUCGGGGUGUCACAAGACCACUUGAUUUUCAUUGGAAAGACUUCUGGUCAUUUGUCACCUAAAAGUAUAUACAUGCAAGAACGUUUUCUCUCUUGAUCUUAGAAACAUCUACCUGCCUAGAAAGAUGCUAGAAGCAUGAUCCAAGCGAGAGGAAAAGUAUUUUUUCUAAGAAGCUACAGAGAGAGACAAGUAAGCCAGUGAUCCUCGCCUAGCUAGUGCACACACAUACACACACACACACAUCAAGCCAACACACCAUAAACGCAGCAGCAGCACGCAAGCCACAAAUAGGCGUGUGGCGCAGCGCACGGGGAAGAUAGAGACAAAACCAAUAGAGUGAGGAGCAGAUAGCCACGCUUGCUGUCGAGCCGUUCACACUAAAAGGGAUAAAAGAGUAGGACGCUUCUAUUCUCAAACCUUCCCAUCAUAGGGAGUAAUUAUCAAACAGAGAAACAAAAGGAAAAGAAAAGCAAGAAGUUCCCUUCCUCCAUCCAUUUUUUAUUUUCUUUCACUUAUAUACAUCAGACUAACACACAAGCACUUCAACUAUUAUAAACAUAAUUCCCAAUUCAAGAACACGGUUGAAUAUUAGAGCACCACAUACUACUCUUCGUAAAGUAAAACCGGGCAUGCCAAGUCAUGGCUGACAGACGAAGCUCAGGAAGGAUUCGAUUGUGCUAUUAGUCAGUAGGUACAUUAGAGAGCUUGUUCAUGCUAAGAACAUCUGUUAUUAGAUUCUUAUAACCACACUUCAUUUUUCUAUUUUCUAAAUUAAAAUAAGCGAUCUCACUACAGUAAAAAAUAAACACAUAUAUAGCUGACAUAAUUACCUCGCGAAGCUAUUAGCAAGGUAGUUGCAAAAUAUUAUGCUAUCCUAAUCAUAUUGCCAAAUUACAAUUGACCGAUUCUAGUCUAGGUUUUAAAUUUCAAAAGGGGGAACAACUCACCAUGCUCUUUGAUUUCUUCUUGGACCCAUGUUUCCUAUCACCAGUCCCCUCCCUACCGCACGAAUCCUCAUUGAUCUAUGCAAAUCUUUAAACGAAAGCAUCCAAAUA
Molecule: long non-coding RNA, 1794 nt
Filed under: Triticum aestivum (bread wheat)
Lineage: Eukaryota; Viridiplantae; Streptophyta; Magnoliopsida; Poales; Poaceae
Description: long non-coding RNA (TAES_LNC001521)
Source: RNAcentral